CUCCUACCCAUACCACUACCCCUACUAUCAUCACUACCCUUAUUACCAGCAUUACUAAACAAACCCUCGCCCUAAAAUCACCUUUUUUCCAACCCCAUCCCACCCUUCCACUGACUUCCUACUAGACACCCCCUACCCUACCCUACCCAACACCACCUUCUCCCUUCUGUUUCUUUCUUUUUUUUUUUUUUUUGCUCCGCUCCAUUCUAGACCCUGACCCCUCGCCCCCCCCUCCUAAGCAGAGAAGCUGCCACUUCUCCUGUCACGAUCACUGCCUCCACCAUCAUGGCAGCCAGCAGCAGCAGCAGCAGUAGUAGUAGAUAUUCGUACCGCUCUCUUUAUUUUCUGACCUUCCUCCACGCCGCCUACCACCCGACCCCUGACCUCUGUACCCUUUUCCCUAUUGACCUCUCCCCCUAAAGCAAAUUUAUCAAGUAGACCAAUAUGAUGCAAUUCCACAAUUUAGACUAACAGAACUACGAACCCUGUACUUAGUCCAUAUUGCCAUUAUUUUCGUCCCAUCUUACCAGUUCUACACUGUCGGUUUGAAACAAAGCUACCAUCUCUAUACGGCGACGUUGGACGAAAUUAUUUUUUCAAGCUUUCGACAUAAAAGAAAUUUUAAAAGGCAAAAACGAUAAAAAAAACAGAAAACGGAACAAAGAAGAAAAGAAACAAACAAACACCUUUACAUUCAUUUGUUGUCUCCUAUUUUUUUUUUCUUCGUCUUCUUCUUUUGAAUGAAGAAGAGGAAGAAGAAGAAAACGCAAAAUGAUGAAAUGUAAAAGAAAGAUUGAGAAAAUAAAAUGAAUUCAAAAUGCAUCAAUAGACAAAGAUUAA
This is a long non-coding RNA of Octopus bimaculoides (California two-spot octopus), 840 nucleotides long. Lineage: Eukaryota; Metazoa; Mollusca; Cephalopoda; Octopoda; Octopodidae. The record is from RefSeq and is a predicted model, not a curated record.